UACGGGAGGCAGCAGGGGGAAUAUUGCACAAUGGGCGCAAGCCUGAUGCAGCCAUGCCGCGUGUAUGAAGAAGGCCUUCGGGUUGUAAAGUACUUUCAGUCGUGAGGAAGGUGUUAAGGUUAAUAACCUUAGCAAUUGACGUUAGCGACAGAAGAAGCACCGGCUAACUCCGUGCCAGCAGCCGCGGUAAUACGGAGGGUGCGAGCGUUAAUCGGAAUUACUGGGCGUAAAGGGCACGCAGGCGGUUAAUUAAGUUGGAUGUGAAAUCCCCGGGCUUAACCUGGGAAUGGCAUUCAAGACUGGUUAGCUAGAGUCUUGUAGAGGGGGUUAGAAUUCCAUGUGUAGCGGUGAAAUGCGUAGAGAUGUGGAGGAAUACCGGUGGCGAAGGCGGCCCCUGGACAAAGGCUGACGCUCAUGUGCGAAAGCGUGGGGAGCAAACG
RNAcentral lists this ribosomal RNA (440 nucleotides) under uncultured bacterium. RNAcentral describes it as "bacterial SSU rRNA". It matches the Rfam family "Bacterial small subunit ribosomal RNA", at positions 340 to 774 of the family's 1533-position model. The record is from RNAcentral.